GGUGGCUCAGUGGUAGAGCAUUUGCCUUGCAAGCAUGAGGCCCUGGGUUCGAUUCCUCAGUACCA
RNAcentral lists this transfer RNA (65 nucleotides) under Dipodomys ordii (Ord's kangaroo rat). It matches the Rfam family "tRNA". Rfam says of the family: Transfer RNA (tRNA) molecules are approximately 80 nucleotides in length. Their secondary structure includes four short double-helical elements and three loops (D, anti-codon, and T loops). The record is from Rfam by way of RNAcentral. Lineage: Eukaryota; Metazoa; Chordata; Mammalia; Rodentia; Heteromyidae.